UAACAAGGUUUCCGUAGGUGAACCUGCGGAAGGAUCAUUGAAUCUAUCAAUACCAACACCGUGAACCACUAUUGUUUGGUCCGCUGGAACUGGCUUAACUGCCAGAUCUGGUGCAGACUGGCUCGCGUUAGACCGAGUCGGUCUGGACUCGCACUAUUCGUGCGGGUUGGCCCCCCAUACCAACACCAACACCAAACCAAACCUUAUCGAUUGAAUACCAUAUGUAUCUGGCCUAGCCAGUGCAUCCAAACAGAGAUAACUCUCAACAACGGAUAUCUUGGCUCUCGCAACGAUGAAGAACGCAGCGAAAUGCGAUACGUAGUGUGAAUUGCAGAAUUCCGUGAACCAUCGAAUCUUUGAACGCACAUUGCGCCUUAGGCUUCGGCCAAGGGCAUGUCUGCCUCAGCGUUGGGUUUAUAUCGCUCCCUUAUACCCCUUCGGGUAUAGAGAGGCGGAUCUGGCUGUUCCAGCUAUGCAGUUCGAAUCAUUCGUGAUUCGGGCAUCUAUGCACCUGGAUCAGCUGAAGACCAGAGGCUAACCAAGGACCCGAUAAGGGCCGCAACUGGGUGGGCUGUCAAAGGCUAUAUUCUUAGUUGUUGGUCUGGGACUUUGUGUUCGGCCCUCAAACAGGAACCUAUAAACCAUAAUCUCAACCUGAGCUCAGGCAAGAACACCCGCUGAACUUAAGCAUAUCA
RNAcentral lists this unclassified non-coding RNA (695 nucleotides) under Chlorococcum tatrense. RNAcentral describes it as "sequence contains 18S rRNA gene, ITS1, 5.8S rRNA gene, ITS2, 28S rRNA gene". The stretch from base 258 to 411 matches the Rfam family "5.8S ribosomal RNA". Lineage: Eukaryota; Viridiplantae; Chlorophyta; Chlorophyceae; Chlamydomonadales; Chlorococcaceae. The record is from RNAcentral.